AACCUGUAGAUGUUGAAUAUAUAUAUAUAUAUAUAUAGUACAAUAUUGUCAUGGACCAAUAAAUAUACGUAUAUACGAUAAUAUUUAAUCUUCAACAUCUACACGUUCUAAUUACAGAAUUAAAUGGAAAAUGCCCAAAAGUAGAGUGUAAACAUUUGGUUUUUCCGUUAACACUUUGCUGUUUUCAAACCAAUUAAAGAAAGAGAAACCUCAAAUCAGUACUGUGUACCCCUUAGGAAUACUAUAGACAAGUAACACAAUAGUUUGGUUCCCCCUCUAGCUGCCCUCUGGGCGGGCGGACACACACACCCAGACACAGACACAAAUACACACACACACACCCUUCUAGAAUGCAGUUUCAGUUUAGGAACACACACACACACACACACACACACACACACACACACACACACACACACACACACACACACCCUUCUAGAAUGCAGUUUCAGUUUAGGAUGUGCUCCACAAUGUGAACCAGUCGGCGAUGGCAGUCGUUGUGGUUGCUGUUUUGGGGGAACAUUAACCAGCUCAACCCACUGCUUCUCCUCACGCUGUCCUGUGUCUCUGGCUGUCUUUCCCUCUGUCCCUCCACCCUCCCGGUCACCACAGUGCUGAAGACCGUGCCCUUCACCGCGCGCACCGCCAAGCGCGGCUCGCGCUUCUUCUGCGACCCCGCCCUCAGUGACGAGUACCAUUACUAAGCUUGUAGAACGCUCGCUCCCGCUCCAAGGUUGCUGGAACACACCGCUCGUUCUCUCUCUCGUUCUCCCUCUCCGUGUGUGUGCGUUUGUUUGUUUGCCUUUGCCCCUUAACACACUCUUUCUUUCACUGUCCGUCGCCGGUAACCUGUGCAUGUGUUCCGAGCCGACCCGUCUCGGGAAUACUACCGGGGAUAGAUGGUGUUAUACUGUGUGCUUUUGAAAGUGUUUGUGUGGGUUUGAGUGUGUUUGUGUGUGUUUGCAUGUGUGUGGGUCUUUCUCCCCUUUCAGCAUGACAUUGUGGUGGGAUAACCGUCUUGAGCUCCUAAUGCAUGUGAAAAUACGUGUGAAAAUAUAUACGAAGAUAUAUUUAUCAUCGUAGCGAACCGCAGCAGACCCAAAUGUCACACGGGACGACCUCGAGGCGGGGCCUCGAGUUCGUCCUUAUCCGGACUGACAUGAGAUGACUGUUUUUAAGUCGUCAAAAUAUACGAUGUUUGUCGCCCCCUGCUGACCAUAAACGGAAUAACACGUCUCUAGAUAUAUAAAUAUUAUAACAAUAUUUAGUGACUUUAUAGCAUCUCUCCAUUCUGACAGAAGAUAAUGAAUUCUAACCUCUGUCACCUUUUAACCAAUAACAUGCCUCUAAGACUAAUGCGGUGAUUUCUGCAGAGCUAUCGCCUCUGGUAUUAUAUAUUAUAAAUAUAAUAUGAUGCUUUUCAACUCCUGUUUCUAUGAACACUGUUUGUUUACGAUGACAUCGCUGUUGCUGUUCUGCUAAUGUCUCGCAUGCAAAUCCCCCUUCCGCCGUUGUUACCCACAAUGCAUCCCUGCUGCCCUUCGUACCUCUUACCUUGUGCUUUGCUCGGCCAUCUGCUGAUAGGUCACCUUCCUGUCACAUGACUUUCAUUGCCUUGGCAGGCGUGACAAGGUCCUAAUCUCUAACAUGACGCAUGAAGUGUUGUGCCGCAGCAGACGAUGAAGGGGGUGUUUUGAAAGUCCCUGAUUGUUUUGUGUUCACUGCUUGCCGACUAACAAAAGCCAACUGCCGCCAGUGGAAAAGCCUCACCUAGUUGCCAUUUUUGCUUUCUAUUGGGUGCUCAUUGGGUGGUUGUAUGCAUGCCUUGGUGGAGGUGUCGUCGCCUUGUUAUCUAAACACUCAUAACCACUCUGUGUUCACCCUGUGUUUUAAAAUGGGGUUUUGGUUUGUUCUGUCGUGCUGGUCCGCCUCUCUGCAAAGCAGUCUUGAGUCUUUAAAAACACAGGAAACUAAAACAAACAGUAAAAGCUUCUGCCUCUUCGGUUCGCCGUCCUCUGUGCCAGUUAACAGGCUCAAGCUCGCCAUGUCUAUUAAGCCCCGCCCCUUUGUGAUUUGGUGUAAGUUCAUUGGCCAGCGGCCUACUCAAUCUCCCCCCCAUGCCCUCUGCCCUCCCUCGCUCGCUUUGCCAGACCGCAAUGCUUCUGCCCGCCCCAGUGCGGGAUGCUACCUAGCAGGACCCUGUCCCCCCAUCGCCAUAGCUUUACCGUCUUUGUUUUAUUCAUUUUAACCUCCAUUUUGUCUUCUUCUCAUCCAGCCCUAAAGAAGAAUAAUAUUACUAUAUUCCCCACUGUCUACUCGAGGAUCUGAGGAACCAGCCAUACAGGCGAGCCGAUGGUGUGCGUCGCAGUGGCCGCCGGCGUUUCGAUGACCAGAGCCUGCGGCCAAUCAACAGCGGGGAGGUGGUCAUGUGACGAGGGACCGCAGGAAGAUGUGAUGUGGAUGGGUGAAGGAACGUGCGAUGGUUUUAGAGAGAGAGAGAGAGAGAGAGAGAGAAAGAGAGAGAGCGGAUGGAUGUGAGACGGAAGAUGCCGGGAGGAGGAUGCUGCUGAGUUUCCUAGCAACCAACAGAGAUAAAUAUGUAAAUAUAUACAUGAAAGAAAACGAAAAGACAAUGAAUCUCUGGCGUAGGAGUAGCCUCUGGAAUAAGAAGGACUGGGGUGUGUGUGGGGGGGGGGGGUUAGACCGAUGGAGUGGGAGAGUGGUCUGCAAUGUUAAAAAGAAAAGAAAAGUAAUUUGCAAAGUGCCUGAACUUUUCAUGUGAUGUCAUAACGUUGUUAGUUUUCGAUUUGUUUUUCGUCCAAUUGUCGAUAGUCAUUACAAUCCAUGAAACACCGCCAGGCUUUAAAUCCUUAAGUCAUCUGGGAUGCGAUGAACCAACUGGAUGAUACGGUGAUACGUAGCAGGGCAGUGGAUACUGGGAAGAAGAAUUGGAACUUGCACAGAAUGUAUGGAACGCAUUCCGUGUGACAGUUCCGGAACCCUCCGGCACGAGGAUCCAAGGCCGCAUUACUUAAGCACAUUCCAAGACUCCAGGGAUUCCUACUAUGACCCAACGUGCUUGAAAAGCAUUUUUUCAAAACAAAAUGGCUUUUCAAUCUUUUUUUCUCCAAAAGGGUUCCUUGUCAAAGUAUUAGCUGUUGAGAUUUAAGCGAUGAUUCGAAAAAUCGUAGAAAAGGUCUGGUAGGACCGUGCCACGGUGACUUUGAAUUAUUUCAAGAGGGAUAUGAGUUGUUGGAGGAUGGGGCCAGGUUAAUGUGAACUUUAUAUUGCACAUCAUUAGGACGACUCAAAGCUUAUUCUUUGGUGAGGAGAGAACGAGGCUGUCCCAUCGCAGUGAUGCGAUGUUAGUGUGUCCUCCAUUUUGUUUGAAUACAGUUGUGUUGUGGGUCAAUACAUGAAUAUACCACCAGAGUGUUCACUAUGAGCAGAGUGUACCCAGGACACUGAAGCCCUUGUGAUGAAUACACGAUGGAAAGGUGGAUCGAAAUACUUUAUUUUUGUUUGUUCGAAAUUGUUCAAAGGGGAUUUGGAAUCAGUGCAGCCAUCUUCAUAUCCUUAUUGUAUUUUUUAUUGUAUAGUAUUUAACCACUAAAAAGGUUUCAUUCUAGCUUUCAAUGUUUGUUUUUGUUUCAUGUGACCUUUCCAUUUGGCAGAAUGUCAGUUAAUGACGGCUCCUCUACGUCGACAUGGCAAAAAAAAACAAAAAAACAGUUUUGUAAAUGUACAGAUAUUUUGCUACAAACGUAAAUUUUGUUGUUCCCUUUUUUUAAUUCCUAAUUCAUAUGACCCGUGAGGUUCAUAUUGUAAAUAUUGUUUAAACAAAAGUUUACAAUGCUCUGUCUUCUACAAUUUGAAUGUUAUUAACUUAUAGUUGUUUUCAUUUCUUAUAUUUAAUUAAACCAAAACAAUAGCCUAACAAAUCAUUAUUGUAGAGCGCUAUGAAGGCUUCUCAUACUGGAUCACUUCAUUAAAUACCGAGUGGAUCAGAAAACUACACUAAGCCAGCGACGCACACAGCACGGGAUGCAAGGGUUUCAUACACUGUGUUUGAGUGUGUGAAUAGCGUUAAAAUUUGAAUCUAAUUUGGACCUCAAUGUUGACAUUUGUUUAUUUCUUUAAACAAGUUACUGCCAAUCUAGAACAUAAUAGUUUGAUAGCAAUGGAACAUUGACAUGAAAUCGAUUUAGCCUUUCUUAUUUGAUGUACCAGGUUCGAAUAAGGCUGUUUUCCAGUAGCUGGCUUGUGUAACGUUGUGAUCCAUUCUAUUCUCUGGACCAAAAAUAACCCAUUAAAGCAUGUUGUGCAUUACCAUGUUCUCUGAAGAACGUCCUGCUCAUCUCUUCUCCUGGACUGGAUAAUACUGGCAUGUCUCUUUUUAAAUCAGAAUUGUAUUUUAGGCAUUGUGUGCUGACUAUAAAAUACUUAAAAUAACUUUUUUUUUUACGUUAGGUGGGAUUCUUAAUGAAUACGAUCAAUUAAACUAUUUACAUUGAA
Molecule: long non-coding RNA, 4515 nt
Organism: Gadus macrocephalus (Pacific cod)
Lineage: Eukaryota; Metazoa; Chordata; Actinopteri; Gadiformes; Gadidae
Exons: 2
Source: RefSeq, a predicted model, not a curated record